RNAcentral lists this ribosomal RNA (460 nucleotides) under uncultured bacterium. RNAcentral describes it as "partial 16S ribosomal RNA". It matches the Rfam family "Bacterial small subunit ribosomal RNA", at positions 338 to 795 of the family's 1533-position model. The record is from RNAcentral.
CCUACGGGCGGCUGCAGUGAGGAAUAUUGGUCAAUGGCCGGAAGGCUGAACCAGCCAUGCCGCGUGAAGGUCAGUGCCCUAUGGGCGUUAAACUUCUUUUGUGCGGGAGCAAUAAUGGUCACGUGUGGCCAGACGAGAGUACCGUACGAAUAAGCAUCGGCUAACUCCGUGCCAGCAGCCGCGGUAAUACGGGGGAUGCAAGCGUUAGCCGGAUUUAUUGGGUUUAAAGGGUGCGUAGGCUGUGAGGUAAGUCAGCGGUGAAAUGCCCCCGCUCAACGGGGUGAAGUGCCAUUGAUACUGGCUUGCUUGAAUGCGGAUGACGUGGGAGGAAUGUGUGGUGUAGCGGUGAAAUGCAUAGAUAUCACACAGAACACCGAUUGCGAAGGCAUCUCACGAAUCCGCGAUUGACGCUGAUGCACGAAAGCGUGGGUAUCAAACAGGAUUAGAUACCCCUGUAGUC